This 253-nucleotide ribosomal RNA is filed under the name uncultured bacterium. RNAcentral describes it as "partial 16S ribosomal RNA". It matches the Rfam family "Bacterial small subunit ribosomal RNA", at positions 524 to 776 of the family's 1533-position model. The record is from RNAcentral.
UACGAGAGGCCCAAACGUUAUUCGGAAUUACUGGGCUUAAAGAGUUCGUAGGCGGCAUGAAAAGUAGGGUGUGAAAGCCCUCGGCUCAACCGAGGAAUUGCGCUCUAAACUGUCGUGCUAGAGGAACCUAGAGGUGAGCAGAACUGAUGGUGGAGCGGUGAAAUGCGUUGAUAUCAUCAGGAAUACCGGAGGCGAAGGCGGCUCACUGGGGGUUUUCUGACGCUGAGGAACGAAAGCCGGGGGAGCGAACGGG